RNAcentral lists this ribosomal RNA (522 nucleotides) under Triticum aestivum (bread wheat). RNAcentral's name for it is "partial small subunit ribosomal RNA". The record is from RNAcentral. Lineage: Eukaryota; Viridiplantae; Streptophyta; Magnoliopsida; Poales; Poaceae.
AUGGUGAGAUAUCAUGUUGCGUUACGCUCGAGCAAACCGCUGGAUGAUGUCUAUGAAGCUCAGGAGGGUACCAUGCUGAGGAGGUACCUGGUGGAGUCCACAGCAGGACAUCUUCUGUUUGCCGUGAAGAAGACUCAUUGUAGCAAGAGGACAGUUGAUAUCAAAGUUUUCCGUCUGUCUGUUGACGAUGCCGCCGGCCAAGCCACGUGGGUCCACUACAAGAACACAGCGGGUGAGAUGAUUUACCUGGGUCGGGCUUCUUCCAUAUCUAGUGUCACUCAGUCGGAGCCCACUAUUCAUUUUCUUGAUGACCGUUUGGUGAAGAGCGAGGAGGAGGCGGAUCACUACUACAUGAGGGACAUGGGAGGGUUGCGACCCCAUGUCCUCCAGGUCAGUUGGUACAGUUACCGAACACCAGACGAAGAAUCCAGGUUCAGCUAUCGAGCACCAGACGACAUAGGAGCGACUGACGUACCAACACCAGUUUGGUGCGACCCCCAGUCUGAUGGAUCUGCCAUGUGA